RNAcentral lists this unclassified non-coding RNA (253 nucleotides) under uncultured Caryophanales bacterium. RNAcentral's name for it is "uncultured Bacillales bacterium contains 16S-23S intergenic spacer region". It matches the Rfam family "Bacterial small subunit ribosomal RNA", at positions 524 to 776 of the family's 1533-position model. The record is from RNAcentral. Lineage: Bacteria; Bacillati; Bacillota; Bacilli; Caryophanales.
UACGUAGGGGGCAAGCGUUGUCCGGAAUUAGUGGGCGUAAAGCGCGCGCAGGCGGUCUCUUAAGUCUGAUGUGAAAGCCCACGGCUCAACCGUGGAGGGUCAUUGGAAACUGGGGGACUUGAGUUCAGGAGAGGAAAGUGGAAUUCCAUGUGUAGCGGUGAAAUGCGUAGAGAUGUUGAGGAACACCAGUGGCGAAGGCGACUUUCUGGCCUGUAACUGACGCUGAGGCGCGAAAGCGUGGGGAUCAAACAGG